This 525-nucleotide ribosomal RNA is filed under the name Pantoea sp. ao2. RNAcentral's name for it is "bacterial SSU rRNA". It matches the Rfam family "Bacterial small subunit ribosomal RNA", at positions 62 to 576 of the family's 1533-position model. The record is from RNAcentral. Lineage: Bacteria; Pseudomonadati; Pseudomonadota; Gammaproteobacteria; Enterobacterales; Erwiniaceae.
UCGGACGGUAGCACAGAGGAGCUUGCUCCUCGGGUGACGAGUGGCGGACGGGUGAGUAAUGUCUGGGGAUCUGCCCGAUAGAGGGGGAUAACCACUGGAAACGGGGGCUAAUACCGCAUAACGUCGCAAGACCAAAGAGGGGGACCUUCGGGCCUCUCACUAUCGGAUGAACCCAGAUGGGAUUAGCUAGUAGGCGGGGUAACGGCCCACCUAGGCGACGAUCCCUAGCUGGUCUGAGAGGAUGACCAGCCACACUGGAACUGAGACACGGUCCAGACUCCUACGGGAGGCAGCAGUGGGGAAUAUUGCACAAUGGGCGCAAGCCUGAUGCACCCAUGCCGCGUGUAUGAAGAAGGCCUUCGGGUUGUAAAGUACUUUCAGCGGGGAGGAAGGCGAUGUGGUUAAUAACCGCGUCGAUUGACGUUACCCGCAAAAGAAGCACCGGCUAACUCCGUGCCAGCAGCCGCGGUAAUACAGAGGGUGCAAGCGUUAAUCAGAAUUACUGGGCGUAAAGCGCACGCAGGC